AUCGAACGCUGGCGGCAGUCCUAACACAUGCAAGUCGAACGGUACCAUCAAGAUGCUUGCUUCUUUGCUGACUAAUGGCGGACGGCUGAGCAUUGUCUGCGAAACUGCCUGAUGGAGCUGGUUCACUACUGGAAACGGUAGCUAAUACCGCAUAAUGUCGCCCUAUCAAUCAGCCCGCCCUUCGGUCCUUUUUUCAUCGGAUUUGCCCGGAUGGGAUUAGCUAGUCGGUAGGGUAACGGCUCACCUAGGCGACGCUCUCUAGCUGGUAUGAGAGGAUGACCAGCCACACUGGAAGUGAGACACGGUCCAGACUCCGACGGGAGGCAGCAGUGGGGAAUAUUGCACGAUGGGCGCGAGCCUGAUGCAGCCAUGCCGCGGGUAGGAAGAAGGCCUUCGGGUUGGAAAGUACUGACAGCGGGGAGGAAGGGAGUAAAGUUAAUACCUUUGCUCAUUGACGUUACCCGCAGAAGAAGCACCGGCUAACUCCGUG
Molecule: ribosomal RNA, 490 nt
Filed under: uncultured bacterium
Lineage: Bacteria
Description: partial 16S ribosomal RNA
Rfam family: Bacterial small subunit ribosomal RNA
Source: RNAcentral